This 73-nucleotide transfer RNA is filed under the name Tupanvirus deep ocean. RNAcentral's name for it is "tRNA-Ile". It matches the Rfam family "tRNA". Rfam says of the family: Transfer RNA (tRNA) molecules are approximately 80 nucleotides in length. Their secondary structure includes four short double-helical elements and three loops (D, anti-codon, and T loops). Further hydrogen bonds mediate the characteristic L-shaped molecular structure. tRNAs have two regions of fundamental functional importance: the anti-codon, which is responsible for specific mRNA codon recognition, and the 3' end, to which the tRNAs corresponding amino acid is attached (by aminoacyl-tRNA synthetases). tRNAs cope with the degeneracy of the genetic code in two manners: having more than one tRNA (with a specific anti-codon) for a particular amino acid; and 'wobble' base-pairing, i.e. permitting non-standard base-pairing at the 3rd anti-codon position. The record is from RNAcentral. RNAcentral also lists the same sequence under 1 other name. Lineage: Varidnaviria; Bamfordvirae; Nucleocytoviricota; Megaviricetes; Imitervirales; Mimiviridae.
GCUCCAUUCGUCUAGUGGUUAGGACACUGAUCUUAUAAGUCGGUAACGCAGGUUCGAUUCCUGCAUGGAGCAC